GUUUGCCCCAUAUUUGUCGACUUCUACAAAGGAGGGAUUAAACAACUAUUCCACAGAUGUGAAAAAUGUGUGGCCCUAGAAGAUGGCUAUAUAGAGAAGAAGGAGUUGGAGGAUUAAAUUUCAGAUCCCUAGCAGAUCCUACCCGCGAUGAGAGUAAGAACUUUUUGGUCUCCCCUCGUAUAUUCUAUAUUGUUAUACGGUUUGAAAUAGCCGCAGGGUUUGAAAAUUAUACAAACUUUCCUCAUUGUACUGUCACGAUUGAUAGAAAGCAAAUAAAGUUUAUAUAGAUUUUUUUAAUAGUAUUUAAUAUGCUACCAUUAUAAAAAGUACUCUCUAAUUGUAUUAUUGGC
RNAcentral lists this long non-coding RNA (350 nucleotides) under Androctonus crassicauda. Lineage: Eukaryota; Metazoa; Arthropoda; Arachnida; Scorpiones; Buthidae. The record is from RNAcentral.